GAGUAAUGUCUGGGAAACUGCCUGAUGGAGGGGGAUAUAGUCGUCGAUUACUGGAAACGGUAGCUAAUACCGCAUAACGUCGCAAGACCAAAGUGGGGGACCUUCGGGCCUCAUGCCAUCAGAUGUGCCCAGAUGGGAUUAGCUAGUAGGUGGGGUAAUGGCUAUGCUAGGCGACGAUCCCUAGCUGGUCUGAGAGGAUGACCAGCCACACUGGAACUGAGACACGGUCCAGACUCCUACGGGAGGCAGCAGUGGGGAAUAUUGCACAAUGGGCGCAAGCCUGAUGCAGCCAUGCCGCGUGUAUGAAGAAGGCCUUCGGGUUGUAAAGUACUUGAUCGCUGGAGGAAGGCGUUAAGGUUAAUAACCUUGGCGAUUGACGUUACUCGCAGAAGAAGCACCGGCUAACUCCGUGCCAGCAGCCGCGGUAAUACGGAGGGUGCAAGCGUUAAUCGGAAUUACUGGGCGUAAAGCGCACGCAGGCGGUCUGUCAAGUCGGAUGUGAAAUCCCCGGGGGAUCACCUGGGAACUGCAUUCGAAACUGGCAGGCUAGAGUCUUGUAGGGGGGGUAGAAUUCCAGGUGUAGCGGUGAAAUGCGUAGAGAUCUGGAGGAAUACCGGUGGCGAAGGCGGCCCCCUGGACAAAGACUGACGCUCAGGUGCGAAAGCGUGGGGAGCAAACAGGAUUAGAUACUCUGGUAGUCCACGCCGUAAACGAUGGAUGAUGACUUGGAGGUUGUGCCCUUGAGGCGUGGCUUCCGGAGCUAACGCGUUCGACCUAGUUGGGGAGUACGGCCGCAAGGUUAAAACUCAAAUGAAUUGACGGGGGCCCGCACAAGCGGUGAGCAUGUGGUUUAAUUCGAUGCAAGCUCGCUGAAGAACCUUACCUACUCUUGACAUCCAGAGAACUUA
Molecule: ribosomal RNA, 908 nt
Filed under: Klebsiella aerogenes
Lineage: Bacteria; Pseudomonadati; Pseudomonadota; Gammaproteobacteria; Enterobacterales; Enterobacteriaceae
Description: bacterial SSU rRNA
Rfam family: Bacterial small subunit ribosomal RNA
Source: RNAcentral